AUACGAAGGGGGCAAGCGUUGUUCGGAAUAACUGGGCGUAAAGCGCACGUAGGCGGAAUGUUAAGUUAGAGGUGAAAUCCCAGGGCUCAACCCUGGAACUGCCUUUAAUACUGGCAAUCUAGAGACCGAGAGAGGUGAGUGGAAUUCCGAGUGUAGAGGUGAAAUUCGUAGAUAUUAGGAGGAACACCAGUGGCGAAGGCGGCUCACUGGCUCGGUACUGACGCUGAGGUGCGAAAGCGUGGGGAGCAAACAGGAUUAGAAACCCUAGUAGUCC
RNAcentral lists this ribosomal RNA (274 nucleotides) under uncultured bacterium. RNAcentral describes it as "partial 16S ribosomal RNA". It matches the Rfam family "Bacterial small subunit ribosomal RNA", at positions 523 to 796 of the family's 1533-position model. The record is from RNAcentral.